GUCUUAUCCAAUUCUGCUUUCUCAAUCUUAUUCAGGAUGAACUUGAUGAAGUUGUGAACACAUGGAACUCGCACAAAAUCCGGCCAAGUGGUAGUGCAGCAUCGGGUCGACCAGUAGUAAUGUACUCAUUUCCAGAGCUGCACAGUGCUGAGGAUAGACUGAAGCCUAUUUCUAUGGAGGAUAUCACUUUGUGUAUGGAAGAGUGUAGCCCAAAAGGUCAACACCCCUGUGAUGAAACAGUCUUUGAACUGUGUUGUCUGCUUAUGGUAGAAAAUGAAUGGGAUGCCCCAGGAGAUCCACUUGGUGCUGCGGAUCUGUACAUUAGGUUAAGAGAAGAAAUACUGCAAAGUAUUUAAGGAACUUCAGUGUGUAAAUGUACAAAUAAAUACAAAAUAUUUCUCUUUAUCUUGAUAACGUGAUUUGAUAGUAGGUGCCAUGUCUUACAGGUACCUUUUAUGCAGGUAUUUCUGCACUGCAUUAAAUGAAAAAUGUUUUUCUACAUUCACACUACCAUUAAACAGAAAUGUUUAUAUAUUACUUGAAAAAGCUGAAUAUUGUGAUAUUAUCAAUCAGUUAUGAAACACAUGUCAAUCCUUUUAAAAGGCCAUACAUUAAACUGCAUUUACAAAUGUUAUAUUUUUGAUUGAAUCAUAAGUGGUGUAAACCUGCCUACCAGUAAAUUGCAAUAUAAAUUUCUGUGUUUUGUUGCCAGACAUGUGCAUAGUAUAUAAAAUAUAAACUGACCAGCUCCCUGCUCAUUGUUUUCUGUAUCAACCUUUACUCUUAAUAUUCAUGGCUGGAAACCCAGGCACCAGCAUAUGAUAUGCUAAGUGCAUAUCAUAUGUGGUUAUCUGUGGUAUGUUUCAGCAAACCAUAGUAGCAUUAACAAUUCUAGGUCUUGACAACAGCAUGUUUCUAUAAACGUAUCAUUGUUAAUAUUUAAAGUCGUUAUGCCUUUUGGGGAGCUUUUAGUGCAAUUAUAUUAAAGCAAAGCUAUAAUAAUCAUUUACCCAUAUGAAGAUCCAUCACUUAAUUAUUAAUGUAUUUCACUUCUGUUAGUUGUAAGAUAUUUUAGCUGGUUUUUCAUGUAAAAUGACCACGAAUCAUUGCUAUACUGAUUCAGUGUUAGCUGUUGUAUACAAGGCUCCUUCAUGAUAUGAAUCCUAAAAUUAUAAGAAACAUACCAAAAAUAUUUUGACUUUUAUUUGUAGUAUCCCAGCAACAAUGCAACAAAACAGUUCCUGCAAGUGGAACCAAGUUAUUGUCCCAUUAAGUGCAACAUGUUUUACAUUUAUAUUUGUGUAUCUUUAUGAAAUAUUUGAAAUUAAAAAUAAAUGGUAUUCUUCCAUGUUACUGA
Molecule: non-coding RNA, 1357 nt
Organism: Maylandia zebra (zebra mbuna)
Lineage: Eukaryota; Metazoa; Chordata; Actinopteri; Cichliformes; Cichlidae
Source: RefSeq, a predicted model, not a curated record